UUUUUUUUUGGUGUUGAUGAAGAACGCAGCGCGUUAUGAUAUCUGGUGCGAAUUGCAGGACACACUGAGCACUUGAUUUUCUAACGCACAUUGCGGCCUCGGAUUAUAUUCGGGGUGACAUCUAUAUGAGAGUGGAUUUGGGAAAUAAAACACAAGAAUGCUGUACUGCAUCUCUUAAUAGAUGUAUGCAAACACUUGUGGCUUUUGCUUAUAAGCAAUAGCAAUAGAACGAGUAUGUUUCUGUGCUUGGGAAAUUGUACAUUGUAAUAGAUGUGCACCCUAGACAGGAAUUCAUAUUUUUCGUAUCUACAAAUGGAACGUACACACACUAUCACAAGAAGGUAUACUUUUUGAAUUCUUUGCAAUCUAUAAUGAAUGCAUAAAGUUUUCAUAUAAAUAUACUGAGAAUGUUGAUCUGAGUAGGUGUAAUAUACGUUCUCAUGACGGCAAAGUCAUGUAGAACAUACACAAUCUACCAAGUAGUGAGUGUUGCACAUUUAUUGUUAGCAGCGCCCCUAUCGGAUCUCAUUCAAUAAGAUGAUAUGUGUUAAAUGUAGUAGAAUGCGUAUGUGUUUA
Molecule: ribosomal RNA, 576 nt
Filed under: Raoiella macfarlanei
Lineage: Eukaryota; Metazoa; Arthropoda; Arachnida; Trombidiformes; Tenuipalpidae
Description: eukaryotic LSU rRNA
Rfam family: 5.8S ribosomal RNA (bases 11-135)
Source: RNAcentral